CCAGUCCUGGGAUUUCCAGGUGUUUACAUUCACUGAGCAGGCAGAACACAGAGAACUCACCAUGGAGUUUGUGCUGGGCUGGGUUUUCCUUGUUGCUCUUUUACAAGGUGUCCAGUGUGAUGUGCAGCUGGUGGAAUCUGGGGGAGACCAGGUGAAGCCUGGGGGGUCCCUGAGACUCUCCUGUGCAGCCUCUGGAUUCACCUUCAAAACUUACUUCAUGAGCUGGGUCCACCAGGCUCCAGGGAAGGGGCUGCAGUGGGUCGCAGGUAUUAGCUAUGAUGGAAGUAGGACAAGCUACGUGGACUCAGUGAAGGGCCGAUUCACCAUCUCCAGAGACAAAAGCAUGAACAUGCUCUAUCUGCAGAUGAACAGCCUGACAGCCGAGGACACAGCCGUGUCUUACUUUUUGAAAGACACAGUGAGGGGACAUCAGUGUGAGCCCAGACACAAACCUCAAACUACAAUGGUAUCAGACCAGCAGAAGGUGCACACUACUUACCAAUUCUGUCCUUAA
Mustela erminea (ermine) is the source of this 514-nucleotide non-coding RNA. The record is from the annotation of a RefSeq genome assembly. Lineage: Eukaryota; Metazoa; Chordata; Mammalia; Carnivora; Mustelidae.